RNAcentral lists this transfer RNA (72 nucleotides) under Gekko gigante (giant gecko). RNAcentral's name for it is "tRNA-Asn". Lineage: Eukaryota; Metazoa; Chordata; Lepidosauria; Squamata; Gekkonidae. The record is from RNAcentral.
CUAGAUCAGUAGGCCUCGAUCCUACAAAAUAUUAAUCAACAACUAACCACCCAAACCAGCGGGCUUUAAUCU